This is an RNA transcript of Cercocebus atys (sooty mangabey), 507 nucleotides long. It is a transcript of the gene named peptidyl-prolyl cis-trans isomerase A pseudogene, with no coding region annotated. The record is from RefSeq and is a predicted model, not a curated record. The transcript is spliced from 2 exons. Lineage: Eukaryota; Metazoa; Chordata; Mammalia; Primates; Cercopithecidae.
AUGGCAAGCCCUUGGGCUGUGUCUCCUUCGAGCAGAUUGGAGCUGUUUGCAGUUCCAAAGACAGCAGAAAACCUCCGUGCUCUGAGCACUGGAAAGAAGGGAUUUGGUUAUAAGGGUUCCUGCUUUCAUAGAAUUAUUCCAGGGUUUGUGUGUCAGAGUGGUGACUUCACACGCCAUACAGCAUUGGUGGCAAGUCCAUCUGCAGGGAGAAAUUUGAUGACAAGAACUUCAUCCUGAAGCAUACAGGUCCUGGCAUCUUGUCCAUGGCAAAUGCUGAACCCAGCAUGAACGUUUCCCAGUUUAUCUGCACUGCCAAGACGGCCAAGGCUGAGUGGUUGGAUGGCAAAUGCGUGGUCUUUGGCAAGGUGAAAGAUGGCAUGAAUACUGUGAAGGUCAUGGCGCACUUUGGGUCCAGGAAUGGCAAGAGCAGCAAUUUGCAUGAAGAUCAUCAUUGCUAACUGUGGAUAACUGUAAUAAAUUUGACUGGUGUUUCUUUAAAAAAAAAAA